Molecule: ribosomal RNA, 1343 nt
Filed under: uncultured bacterium
Lineage: Bacteria
Description: 16S ribosomal RNA
Rfam family: Bacterial small subunit ribosomal RNA
Source: RNAcentral
GACGAACGCUGGCGGCGUGCUUAACACAUGCAAGUCGAACGGAAAGGCCCUGCUUUUGUGGGGUGCUCGAGUGGCGAACGGGUGAGUAACACGUGAGUAACCUGCCCUUGACUUUGGGAUAACUUCAGGAAACUGGGGCUAAUACCGGAUAGGAGCUCCUGCUGCAUGGUGGGGGUUGGAAAGUUUCGGCGGUUGGGGAUGGACUCGCGGCUUAUCAGCUUGUUGGUGGGGUAGUGGCUUACCAAGGCUUUGACGGGUAGCCGGCCUGAGAGGGUGACCGGCCACAUUGGGACUGAGAUACGGCCCAGACUCCUACGGGAGGCAGCAGUGGGGAAUAUUGCACAAUGGGCGGAAGCCUGAUGCAGCAACGCCGCGUGCGGGAUGACGGCCUUCGGGUUGUAAACCGCUUUCGCCUGUGACGAAGCGUGAGUGACGGUAAUGGGUAAAGAAGCACCGACUAACUACGUGCCAGCAGCCGCGGUGAUACGUAGGGUGCGAGCGUUGUCCGGAUUUAUUGGGCGUAAAGGGCUCGUAGGUGGUUGAUCGCGUCGGAAGUGUAAUCUUGGGGCUUAACCCUGAGCGUGCUUUCGAUACGGGUUGACUUGAGGAAGGUAGGGGAGAAUGGAAUUCCUGGUGGAGCGGUGGAAUGCGCAGAUAUCAGGAGGAACACCAGUGGCGAAGGCGGUUCUCUGGGCCUUUCCUGACGCUGAGGAGCGAAAGCGUGGGGAGCGAACAGGCUUAGAUACCCUGGUAGUCCACGCUGUAAACGGUGGGUACUAGGUGUGGGGUCCAUUCCACGGGUUCCGUGCCGUAGCUAACGCUUUAAGUACCCCGCCUGGGGAGUACGGCCGCAAGGCUAAAACUCAAAGGAAUUGACGGGGCCCCGCACAAGCGGCGGAGCAUGCGGAUUAAUUCGAUGCAACGCGUAGAACCUUACCUGGGUUUGACAUGGAUCGGGAGCGCUCAGAGAUGGGUGUGCCUCUUUUGGGGUCGGUUCACAGGUGGUGCAUGGCUGUCGUCAGCCCGUGUCGUGAGAUGUUGGGUUAAGUCCCGCAACGAGCGCAACCCUUGUUCACUGUUGCCAGCACGUUAUGGUGGGGACUCAGUGGAGACCGCCGGGGUCAACUCGGAGGAAGGUGGGGAUGACGUCAAGUCAUCAUGCCCCUUAUGUCCAGGGCUUCACGCAUGCUACAAUGGCUGGUACAGAGAGUGGCGAGCCUGUGAGGGUGAGCGAAUCUCGGAAAGCCGGUCUCAGUUCGGAUUGGGGUCUGCAACUCGACCUCAUGAAGUCGGAGUCGCUAGUAAUCGCAGAUCAGCAACGCUGCGGUGAAUACGUUCCCGGG